This 1621-nucleotide ribosomal RNA is filed under the name fungal endophyte sp. P816A. RNAcentral describes it as "eukaryotic LSU rRNA". The stretch from base 231 to 1621 matches the Rfam family "Eukaryotic large subunit ribosomal RNA", at positions 1 to 1417 of the family's 3401-position model. The record is from RNAcentral. Lineage: Eukaryota; Fungi.
GUGAUCAUCGAAUCUUUGAACGCAUAUUGCGCCCAUUAGUAUUCUAGUGGGCAGGACCGUUCGAGCGUCAUUUCGACCCUUAAGCCUUAGUUGCUUAGUGUUGGGAGCCUACGGCAACGUAGCUCCUCAAAGUUAGUGGCGGAGUUGGUUCACACUCUAGACGUAGUAAUUUUUUAUCUCGCCUAUUAGUUGGACUGAUCCCCUGCCGUAAAACCCCAACUUCUCAAGGUUGACCUCGAAUCGGUUCAGACAAACUCGCUAAAUUGAAGCAUCUUAGUCAGCGAAGGAAAAGAAACCAACAGGGAUUGCCCUAGUAACGGCGAGUGAAGCGGCAACAGCUCAAAUUUGAAAUCUGGCCCUCGGGUCCGAGUUGUAAUUUGUAGAGGAUGCUUUUGGCGCGGUGCCUUCCGAGUUCCCUGGAACGGGACGCCUUAGAGGGUGAGAGCCCCGUACGGUUGGACACCAAGCCUCUGUAAAGCUCCUUCGACGAGUCGAGUAGCUUGGGAAUGCUGCUCUAAAUGGGAGGUAAAUUUCUUCUAAAGCUAAAUAUUGGCCAGAGACCGAUAGCGCACAAGUAGAGUGAUCGAAAGAUGAAAAGCACUUUGAAAAGAGGGUUAAACAGCACGUGAAAUUGUUGAAAGGGAAGCGUUUGCGACCAGACCUUUUCCUAGCGGAUCAUCCGGUGUUCUCACCGGUGCACUUCGCUAGGUCUAGGCCAGCAUCGGUUUCUGUAGGGGGAUAAAAGCUCUGGGAACGUGGCUCCUCCGGGAGUGUUAUAGCCCUCUGCAUAAUACCCUUACGGGGACCGAGGACCGCGCUUCGGCAAGGAUGCUGGCGUAAUGGUCGUCAACGACCCGUCUUGAAACACGGACCAAGGAGUCGAACAUUUGUGCGAGUGUUUGGGUGUUAAACCCUCACGCGUAAUGAAAGUGAACGGAGGUGAGAGCCCUCACGGGUGCAUCAUCGACCGAUCCUGAUGUCUUCGGAUGGAUUUGAGUAAGAGCAUAACUGUUCGGACCCGAAAGAUGGUGAACUAUGCGUGGAUAGGGUGAAGUCAGAGGAAACUCUGAUGGAGGCUCGCAGCGGUUCUGACGUGCAAAUCGAUCGUCAAAUCUGCGCAUGGGGGCGAAAGACUUAUCGAACCAUCUAGUAGCUGGUUACCGCCGAAGUUUCCCUCAGGAUAGCAGUGUUGUUCUUCAGUUUUAUGAGGUAAAGCGAAUGAUUAGGGACUCGGGGGCGCUUUUUAGCCUUCAUCCAUUCUCAAACUUUAAAUAUGUAAGAAGCCCUUGUUACUUAAUUGAACGUGGGCAUUCGAAUGUACCAACACUAGUGGGCCAUUUUUGGUAAGCAGAACUGGCGAUGCGGGAUGAACCGAACGCGGGGUUAAGGUGCCGGAGUGGACGCUCAUCAGACACCACAAAAGGUGUUAGCACAUUUAGACAAUAGGACGGUGGCCAUGGAAGUCGGAAUCCGCUAAGGACUGUGUAACAACUCACCUAUCGAAUGUGCUAGCCCUGAAAAUGGAUGGCGCUUUAGCGUCCCACCCAUACCCCGCCCUCAGGGUAGAAACGAUGCCCUGAGGAGUAGGCGGCCGUGGAGGUCAGUGACGAAGCCUAGGGCU